CAUGUCACACGAAAUAGUUAGCAAAGACAAGAAAUUGAUUAUGGUUCACAUAGGUAGACUAAUUCAAAAGAAAUCAGGAAAAACGUGUAGAUCUCUUCAGUAGUUAUUCAAAUUAAAUUAAGUAGACCAAAGAAUGCAGUCAGAUAAACGAUAAAUAUUUGAUUACAAGGGUGGACGAGAAUAACAUGUAAACUACAUAUUAGCUUUACAAUAUAUGUAGCUGGCGCUGUACCUAUCGAAAUCGACAAAACAGGCAACCUAUUUUGCUAUGAAUUCAAACGAGAGAAUUUAAGUUGCAGCAGAAAAUAUACAUAAGAACACUGUGCUUAACAAAAUCAGAUGAUGGUCUACGAAAAUGAAGAUACUGGCAACACAGUACUUGCUCUUAGAAUAGAAGUUUUUUUUUUGAACAGUCAUGCCGUUGCCUACAUUUUAUAUAAAGAAGAAGAAGGUGUCCCAUUUUAAGGAGACUCUUAUAAUAGAAUUUAUCCGCUGGUGUAAAAUGUCAGGUGAUAGUAACUUGUAAACUUUUCCUCACAUAAAUGGUAAGUAUCUUUCCUCAUUCUCUCGAGGGGAAAAAAGAAAAAAAAACUUAUUGUACAGGAGUAGUGUUAAGAAAACCCAUCCAUAAUAAGUUAGUGUUUGUAAAACAGCGUACAAAGCAAGCACACAAUAUUCUCAACACAUCCUUGUCUAGCCAUUAUCUACUCCCUCCGUCCCUAAAUAUAAGGGAUUUUGGUUGGAUGUGCGUCACAUCCAACCAAAAUCCCUUAUAUUUAGGGACAAAGGGAGUAUUCAAUAGCUAGAUCUUAAAAACAUUCUGACACAACGAAAUAAAAUGGUAAGACUAUGACCAGUUGAAUAUGCUUAUCUUUCAUCGUUAGAAUUUUUUUUUUCAGAAAAAGAACCAUUCAAUUACUUCCUCUGAUCAAAACCAUUUGCAAGCGCAAGAUUUCUUCAAACUCUUGAAAUUUCAACCAUCAACAAUUUCUCAAAUGCUUAUAUUCAAAACAAAAGAAAUGCUUUUUGUAGAUUUACCUCCAAAAGUAAAGUUAUAAUACCAUAAAUGUAUUAGAUUUGAUUAAGUUAUUCCAAUAUAAAAUUCAUUGUCGGAAUUUUAAAAGUUUAGACCAAAUCUUGUCCUAAACAUCAAAUAUUUAUGACCAAAGGAGUAGCAUCUGAAAAGAAUUACUCCCUCCAUUUCAAAUCACUUUUUCUAGCUUUGUUGUCCUAAGUCAAACAUUUUUAUCUUUUGACUAUUAUUUUCUAGAAAUUCAUAUGGUUUAACAUCAUUAGAAUUAUGUUUUCGGAUUCACCAUAAGAAAAUAUUUUCUCAACAUAUAUAAUUCGCAUGCUCUUAAACUACAAGAAUUUCUAAAAAAAAAAUUGAUGGUCAAAGAUAAAAAUGUUUGACUUAGGACAAACCUAGAACAACAACUAAUUUAAAACAGAGGGGGUAUAAAAUUAAUUAAACAAAAUAAUAACCAUGUUCAAGGAUAACAGAGCACUGCAUGAGAAAUGAACCCUACAAAUAACCAUAAGAGGACUAAUUCUGUUUUAGUGAAUUAUCAGGCAUAUUAGGUACAAGAAAUGCAGUAUAUAAAUCUCUUAAAUAAUGUCUUGGAUUAAAUAAUUACAACUGUCAAAGUGUAGUUAACCCUUUGCGCUCUUUUAGUGCAAAGAUGAGAUAGUUUCUCUGAUGUAAACAGUCCUGAUUGGGAUAAGAGUGUGAUGAGUACUACGAUAGUUCUACGACAAGUUUACUUAGCUUUAGUAAGGAAUAACAUUUUUUUCUUCCUGUGGAGUAAAUAUCAACUAAUUAUGCAAGGAUAAUACAGGUCCUAGCGAUAUCUAGGUCGACAGGCCUAUUAAAUUUUAUUCCAAGGCAAAAUAUAUAGAUUGAUUGCACUCAAAACAGUUUCAGUAGAGUUGUCAGGAAAAUAAUUUAGUACUUUUAAUUUAUUUACUACAUGCAAAGAACAAUGCUAAAUGUAGCGCUAAAUACUGUAAAAGGUCGUUUAUUUAGAGUGUAUGCACGUAGUUACUGAUGCCAUAAAUUGGCUAAAUUGGUGCAUUGGAUAAUCUGUGGUGCUAGUUUUUUUUUCUUUUUAUGUGUAGCAAGUCAAUAUCUCACCAGUAAACUGUUUAUCUUAAUGGUUAAUAUCUUAUAUAAGUAGUCUGUUCAUUUGAAAUUUUGUGGAGUCUGAUUCUAUGGUAUCAAUUUUGCUGUGAAAAUUCACAACUUUUUAAUUGUUUUUGUAGCUUGGGUGAACCGGGUAUUCUCUCCUCUACUACGCUAGAUUAAUUCGUACAUACAAGACUACUGAAAAUCAGCUGAUAUCCUAGAAAUGAGAAGAAGAUAACUUCGCUUUGGACACAAUGGUUGUUCAAUUGCCACCUGGCGAAGCCAGGUUCUACACCCAUCCUUACACUGGAACUUUUGCAGCCGUAAAUUUGGAGGUAUGUGUGUCUUUUUUUUGUAACGAUUUGCUUUAAAACAAUAUACUAGUAGCAUACUUGUGUAUGUUCAACAUUUCAGCACAAUUAUUUAUCAUUUAUUUAAAAAAUUCAUGUUUUAAAUAUUUAAUAUAUAUUUAGUUAUGAUCAAUUGCAACUCAUGGAUGAUGGUGCUAGCAUAUUCAUGUAAUCAUGCAUAUCGGUUACUUGCAUGAAGUUCUAAAACAUAAGGCCACAUUAGGGGGGAAACAAGGAUCAAUAAAUGAAGGGUUAGACGAUUUUCCCCACAUUUGUUCCCAACUUGUGAAGAAUUACUGCUUAUGUAAGGAGCAGAGAACAUUGGUUUACUCUGCAAAAUGAAGAAAAACAGGGAAAGAUAAUACAGAAGCUAAUUUUGACUCAGGCAUUCUUGGUCGGACUCCCUGUAAAACAUCUAUAAAAAGGUCAGACACAUCCAAAUAUUCACAGGAGCAAGACAAUUAUUUCAUGUAACCCACGGGAAAAUUUUCAAAAAUGACAAUAUGAGUCAUGGGUAAAUUCUACCACAGCACAUCUUGUAUUGUGUAGCACAAAAUAUUGCACUUCUAUAAGACUUUAUUUGGUCAAUAUAACAUGAAUCAUGUAUAAAAAUAAUGCGCAACUUAAUUUUUCAUAAAUAAAUAAGAAACAUUAGUAUCUAUGCGAAAAUAAUGCCAAGGAAAAAACAGAACAAUCAACUGGGAGAGGUAGCCGAAUCACUGCCUAAAUAGUUCCUUUGUGUUCACUAAAUAGAUGAAAAUAUAUAUUAUUGAAUAUAGCAGCUUUACAUUAAAAAAGGAAAAAGAAAAGCAAGAGAGUGUUCUAGGAGCUGCACUCGCAUGCAAACAAAAUAUUGAUGGAAUGCAUCAUGCAAGUUGCAAUAUUUGUAGGAUUUUUAAGACUCAAUUUUGAAGAACUAAGUUAAUUAAAGAGAUAUUUUUGUUUUAACUUGCAUUAACCAAAAACUACAGCUAAUAAAAUUAAGAGCAGAAGCAAACGAAGAGGACCUUCAUUACCCAGCAGAACCUCAGACUAAAUGUACAGAAGAUGUCUGACACAUCAAGAAAAAGGAAUGCCAGACACAGAAACUCCGGAAUUUAGAAAUGGAAGAACCAACACUAUCGAUUUGGCAAUCACAAAAAGACAUGAGGGGAACAAUUAUCAUCCAAAAAAUUUUUGUUAACUCAAUUUGUCGAGUCAUACUACUGUCCUCCAGUUGCAUGCAUUGUCUUUUCUAGUGACGUACGUUCCAUUGCAAAAUCAGUCAGCUCUUUUCCAUCCCAUUGUUUUCUUUUGUUUGCUUUUUAGCAAGCAAAGUUUCAGUAUCUCUUUUGGUGUUGCCUCGAGACAAACGGAAACUCGUGAUAUCUGUGUCCCCUGCUUUUGCAUGGCCUUGAAAGAAUGCAUGCAACGAAGAAUCUUGGAGUACAUCAGGUGCAACAUCAGUCAGAAAAAUGCAGUGUUGUUUUGUGAUUAAAAUCAAGCUAUGGUCCUAAACACAAUUAGGAAUGAUCACCUGCAACCUUGACCGGGUGAUAUUCAGGUUGCCUCGUGAAUCAGGUAAGCCAGUCAUAUUUUUUGGAAAAGAGAACGCAUAUAGAGUAGAUGUGCGUCUACCUAGGUCCAAGUAGUAGGACAAAGAACAAUUGAACCUGAGAAGAAAUGAGUUGACAGCUGAAAAAUACAGACGCAUUUGAACUCGGACUAGCCUUGGAAAGCAUCCAAUGUUUCUUGACCGCCAUUACAUCUAUGAGAGAGAAUGAAGAGAACUAGAAGAAGACUGGCAAAAAAUACACGAGUAGUACUCUAUAGUGGAGUAUAUAAUACUGGUACUACUAGUAUAGCCAAGGAGAUCACCCAAAAUAUUGCAAGGAGAUCUCACAUCAAAUAAUAGGCUAUGCUCUUGCUUAACUGUAUCUUUCUCGAGGCUAGCUCUGACCGUUCUGUCCAUGCGACUUCACUGGUCAGAAAACACAGAAUACCAAGUCAUGGAGUAUACUGCUGUACAUUGGAUUUCUACACAAGACUGACCUACUGUAUAGUAUACUAUCCCAUUUACUCAUCUGUCUACCUACUACGUAUAUAGUAGAGUGUGUAGGAAUACAUCUAUCUGACCAUUGGAUUUCUA
Oryza sativa Japonica Group (Japanese rice) is the source of this 4603-nucleotide long non-coding RNA. RefSeq lists it as uncharacterized. Lineage: Eukaryota; Viridiplantae; Streptophyta; Magnoliopsida; Poales; Poaceae. The record is from RefSeq and is a predicted model, not a curated record.